This 73-nucleotide transfer RNA is filed under the name Trypanosoma vivax Y486. Its description in RNAcentral is "transfer RNA-Pseudo". The record is from RNAcentral. Lineage: Eukaryota; Euglenozoa; Kinetoplastea; Trypanosomatida; Trypanosomatidae.
GUUUCCGUAGUGUAGUGUUUAUCAUGUUUGCAUUACACGCUAAAGGUCUCCUGUUCGAAACUGGGCGGAAGCA